RNAcentral lists this ribosomal RNA (520 nucleotides) under uncultured bacterium. RNAcentral describes it as "bacterial SSU rRNA". It matches the Rfam family "Bacterial small subunit ribosomal RNA", at positions 988 to 1509 of the family's 1533-position model. The record is from RNAcentral.
CCAGAGAACUUAGCAGAGAUGCUUGGUGCCUUCGGGAACUCUGAGACAGGUGCUGCAUGGCUGUCGUCAGCUCGUGUUGUGAAAUGUUGGGUUAAGUCCCGCAACGAGCGCAACCCUUAUCCUUUGUUGCCAGCGGCUCGGCCGGGAACUCAAAGGAGACUGCCGGUGAUAAACCGGAGGAAGGUGGGGAUGACGUCAAGUCAUCAUGGCCCUUACGGCCAGGGCUACACACGUGCUACAAUGGCGCAUACAAAGAGAAGCGACCUCGCGAGAGCAAGCGGACCUCAUAAAGUGCGUCGUAGUCCGGAUUGGAGUCUGCAACUCGACUCCAUGAAGUCGGAAUCGCUAGUAAUCGUAGAUCAGAAUGCUACGGUGAAUACGUUCCCGGGCCUUGUACACACCGCCCGUCACACCAUGGGAGUGGGUUGCAAAAGAAGUAGGUAGCUUAACCUUCGGGAGGGCGCUUACCACUUUGUGAUUCAUGACUGGGGUGAAGUCGUAACAAGGUAAGCGUAGCGAG